AUUCUCGGAGUUCCAGCUUCGCGGGAUCAGAGUCCCCUCCAGGGACUUCAAUUUGUACGCCCCUGGUCGUUGUACCCGGGCGAUUUGAUACGGCCCUUCCCAAUUUGGGGCGAGCUUUCCUUGCUCGGUCGGUUGAGAAGCCUCGGCUCUUCUGAGGACGAGGUCCCCCACUUUGAAGAGCUUGGGCUUGACUCUGGAGUUGUAGUAUUGGGCC
Molecule: long non-coding RNA, 214 nt
Filed under: Phoenix dactylifera (date palm)
Lineage: Eukaryota; Viridiplantae; Streptophyta; Magnoliopsida; Arecales; Arecaceae
Description: long non-coding RNA (PDAC_LNC012289)
Source: RNAcentral